UAAAUGGGGCCACGACGCGAACGCCCCGUGAGGCUUUGGCCAAAGGUUCGCAUCCCCUGACCCUCAGAUAAGGAUGCAAAAUG
Molecule: non-coding RNA, 83 nt
Filed under: unclassified sequences
Description: chrB RNA
Rfam family: chrB-a RNA
Source: RNAcentral